GAUGAAGAACGCAGCGAAAUGCGAUAAGUAGUGUGAAUUGCAGAAUUCAGUGAAUCAUCGAAUCUUUGAACGCACAUUGCGCCCCUCGGUAUUCCGUGGGGCAUGCCUGAUCGAGCGUCAUUUACCCCUCAAGCACUGCUUGGUGUUGGGCGUCUGUCCCGCUUCGCGCGCGGACUCGCCCCAAAGGUAUUGGCAGCGGUCGUGCCAGCUUCUCGCGCAGCACAUUGCGCUUCUCGAGGCGGUCGAUCGGCGUCCACGAAGCUCACCUCCACCGUUUGACCUCGGAUCAGGUAGGGAUACCCGCUGAACUUAAGCAUAUCAAUAAGCGGAGGA
RNAcentral lists this unclassified non-coding RNA (333 nucleotides) under soil metagenome. RNAcentral describes it as "partial contains 5.8S ribosomal RNA, internal transcribed spacer 2, and large subunit ribosomal RNA". The stretch from base 1 to 120 matches the Rfam family "5.8S ribosomal RNA", at positions 35 to 154 of the family's 154-position model. The record is from RNAcentral.